Molecule: non-coding RNA, 26 nt
Filed under: Mus musculus (house mouse)
Lineage: Eukaryota; Metazoa; Chordata; Mammalia; Rodentia; Muridae
Source: RNAcentral
UGCUUUUGUGUAGGACUGUAAACGCU